AAGACUAUAGACCUGCGGAGUACCUGCGGAAGGAUCAUUAUUGAAUUAUGUUUCUAAAUGGGUUGUAGCUGGCUCGUCAGAGCAUGUGCACGCCUGUUUGGACUUCAUUUUCAUCCACCUGUGCACCUAUUGUAAUCUUUGGUUGGGUAUCAAGGAAGUGGUCAGCCUAUCAGCACUUGCUGGAUGUGAGGACUUGCAGUGUGAAAGCUUUGCUGUCCUUUACUUGAUCAUGGAGUUGUU
RNAcentral lists this unclassified non-coding RNA (240 nucleotides) under soil metagenome. Its description in RNAcentral is "partial contains 5.8S ribosomal RNA, internal transcribed spacer 2, and large subunit ribosomal RNA". The record is from RNAcentral.